GUAAUACAGCCUGAGGUCAUUUUAUUAUGAACGUGAGAAUUCAUCUAGGAUGGCAACUCCACAGGCUAAGGUAGUGGAUUCCUAGGCUGUAACUGGUUUGGCGCUGAUAAUACUGGGGUGCAGGAUAUCUCCACACUGCGGUCCCAGAGAAAUCCUCAGUUGGUAGCCAAAUGGUAUAGAAACAACAGGACAUGAACAAGGUGACAUGACUACAAUGGGGCCACAUGGCCAAGGUCAAGAUAUGGAUGCAUAACCACAAGUCCAAGUUAAACAGAGGGAUUUCAUCGAGACAUGGGAGCUUUCAUCAAUGUAAUUAUACUUCACCUGUUGUUGGAUUCUCUGGCUGAAGCACGUCAUUUCCUCUCUGGAAGGCGGGGAGGUGAUUUGUUCAUGGAGACUGCAGGAUAUUUUACAGCAGCUAUUUAUAUCUCCGUGUGACAUGAUGCCAGUGCCAUGAUUAAGAGCACUAGCUCGAAACGUGUCGGUGUUUCACUCGUUUUUAAGGAGUGACAUGUCACUCGCCACUUCGGUGGCAAUCCAUUCUUUUAUAUGCAACUAUUAAACGUUAAGUUUUAAUGCUUUUUUUCCUGGGAGCUGGAUCCUACCCUUUGUUUUCUCCCUUUAUGCCCUUGUGCCAUUAUUUAUCUCC
This is a long non-coding RNA of Hyla sarda, 649 nucleotides long. RefSeq lists it as uncharacterized. The transcript has 3 exons. The record is from RefSeq and is a predicted model, not a curated record. NCBI's taxonomy places the organism in Eukaryota, Metazoa, Chordata, Amphibia, Anura, Hylidae.